GGACUACAGGGGUAUCUAAUCCCGUUCGCUCCCCUAGCUUUCGCGUUUCAGCGUCAGGUGCAGUCCAGGUGGCCGCUUUCGCCACAGGUGUUCCUCCGGAUAUCUACGCAUUUCACCACUACACCCGGAAUUCCACCACCCUCUACUGCCCUCAAGUCUGGAAGUAUCGGACAGCCUCUCCUGGUUGAGCCAGGAGAUUUCAUGCCCGACUUGCCAAACCGCCUGAACGCGCUUUACGCCCAGUAAAUCCGGAUAACGCUCGUCACCUACGUUUUACCGCGGCUGCUGGCAC
This 292-nucleotide ribosomal RNA is filed under the name uncultured bacterium. RNAcentral's name for it is "partial 16S ribosomal RNA". The record is from RNAcentral.